Molecule: non-coding RNA, 45 nt
Organism: Schistosoma rodhaini
Lineage: Eukaryota; Metazoa; Platyhelminthes; Trematoda; Strigeidida; Schistosomatidae
Source: Rfam
AUUCAGCUGACGAGUCCCAAAUAGAACAAAACGUGCAUCCUGGAU